GACGAACGCUGGCGGCGCGCUUAACACAUGCAAGUCGAGCGAAGCGGCGGACGGGUGAGUAACACGCGAGUAACCUGCCUUAGACAUUGGGAUAGCCUCGGGAAACCGGGAUUAAUACCAAAUGGUCUAAGAUGGACUCGCGUCCCAUUAGCAAGUUGGUGAGGUAACGGCCCACCAAGGCGACGAUGGGUAGCCUGCCUGGGAGAGUUGACGGCCACAUUUGAGCUGAGAAGCGGUGCAAAAUCUACGAGAGGGAGCAGUGGGGAAUGUUGCACAAUGGAGGGAACUCUGAUGCAGCGACGCCGCGUGAGCGAAGAAGGCUUUCAAGUAGUAGAGUUCUUUUAUAUGGGAAGCGGUACCAUAAGAAAAAGCCCCGGCUAACUACGUGCCAGCAGCCGCGGUAAUAC
RNAcentral lists this ribosomal RNA (407 nucleotides) under uncultured bacterium. RNAcentral describes it as "partial 16S ribosomal RNA". It matches the Rfam family "Bacterial small subunit ribosomal RNA", at positions 28 to 526 of the family's 1533-position model. The record is from RNAcentral.